Long non-coding RNA from Suricata suricatta (meerkat), 571 nucleotides. RefSeq lists it as uncharacterized. Lineage: Eukaryota; Metazoa; Chordata; Mammalia; Carnivora; Herpestidae. The transcript has 3 exons. The record is from RefSeq and is a predicted model, not a curated record.
ACCUGACCAAAGUGGGAUGCUUAACUGACUGAGCCACCCAGGUACCUCUUCAGCUUUAUCUUAAUGUGCCUGUCACCGCAGGACAGGAAAUGGACCCUUGCCUUCCUGACGCUGACAGUCAUCCUUUCCCAAAGGCAGCAAAGCUUCCUUGCUGAUCUCACUGAAUGUGUGUGAACCUGGCUGAGCCUUCACAAGAAGCUGCUGCUGGUUUUGAAUUGUCCCGCGAGCCAGGCCGGCAAGAGGAGCUGUGGUAGGAAGUGCUUGGUUGGCUAAGGUGACAAAAAUGCUUCCUGAAUUUCAAAAAAAGAAAUGACAGUUGAUGUUUUAUGCAGCCACAAAACAGUAGACAUACGGAAUAUUUAUAAAUGCAGUAUCUUGUGUGAAAGUGUUCUGUACAGACAGUCAUUUGAUUCAACAUCAGGCUGUUAGGAUCAAGUUCACAUUCUUCAUUCGCUCUGUCUCUCAGAACUUUGAGCUACAACUUGGUGCCAAAAGAGGGAAGCAGAUCCAGGUACGAUUAAUACUCCAAUUUCAGAUUAUUGCAAAUGACCCCCCUUCAAUAUGCUGCUAU